UUUUUUAUUUAGGAGUAAAAAGUAAUGUAAAAAUACGUAAUAAAAUACAGAAUUUUUUUUGUUACAUCAGAAUAUUUCACGCUUGAGCCCAGUAUGGUAUUUAACUAUUUACCCAACUCUGUUGCCCACGACUUUAUCAGCAUGGUCAGGCUUUGAGUUUGUAAAUGUCAAAUCGCUACGACAAUCAGUCAACUGUCAGAUUCUGUGAAAAACUUUAAUUUGAUAAGAAAUAGGUAAACGAUUUAAUGUGAUAAAGGCAUUGACGGGUUUUUUCAUUUUUGGGGAAGUUACCACGUUAUUAUGGUGGUCAGGGAUGUUUUUGAUCAUUUGUGGACUGUUAUUAAUACUGAGGGAUCAACCAUCAGAUGAACAUAUUUUGAAAAAAUCGAAUUAGUUUUUAUUUAUUUUUUAAUAUGUACAGUUUAAACAAUAAAUUAUUAAUAAAUUA
Tribolium castaneum (red flour beetle) is the source of this 448-nucleotide RNA transcript. RefSeq lists it as uncharacterized. NCBI's taxonomy places the organism in Eukaryota, Metazoa, Arthropoda, Insecta, Coleoptera, Tenebrionidae. The transcript has 2 exons. The record is from RefSeq and is a predicted model, not a curated record.